RNAcentral lists this transfer RNA (30 nucleotides) under Cricetulus griseus (Chinese hamster). RNAcentral's name for it is "partial tRNA-Lys". Lineage: Eukaryota; Metazoa; Chordata; Mammalia; Rodentia; Cricetidae. The record is from RNAcentral.
AAUGUUAGAGACCUUAUAUCUCCACAAUGA